AUUGAACGCUGGCGGCAGGCCUAACACAUGCAAGUCGAGCGGAUGAAGGGAGCUUGCUCCUGGAUUCAGCGGCGGACGGGUGAGUAAUGCCUAGGAAUCUGCCUGGUAGUGGGGGAUAACGUCCGGAAACGGGCGCUAAUACCGCAUACGUCCUGAGGGAGAAAGUGGGGGAUCUUCGGACCUCACGCUAUCAGAUGAGCCUAGGUCGGAUUAGCUAGUUGGUGGGGUAAAGGCCUACCAAGGCGACGAUCCGUAACUGGUCUGAGAGGAUGAUCAGUCACACUAGAACUGAGACACGGUCCAGACUACUACGGGAGGCAGCAGUGGGGAAUAUUGGACAAUGGGCGAAAGCCUGAUCCAGCCAUGCCGCGUGUGUGAAGAAGGUCUUCGGAUUGUAAAGCACUUUAAGUUGGGAGGAAGGGCAGUAAGUUAAUACCUUGCUGUUUUGACGUUACCAACAGAAUAAGCACCGGCUAACUUCGUG
Molecule: ribosomal RNA, 484 nt
Filed under: uncultured bacterium
Lineage: Bacteria
Description: partial 16S ribosomal RNA
Rfam family: Bacterial small subunit ribosomal RNA
Source: RNAcentral